RNAcentral lists this ribosomal RNA (487 nucleotides) under uncultured bacterium. Its description in RNAcentral is "bacterial SSU rRNA". It matches the Rfam family "Bacterial small subunit ribosomal RNA", at positions 28 to 514 of the family's 1533-position model. The record is from RNAcentral.
GAUGAACGCUAGCGGCAGGCUUAACACAUACAAGUCGAGGGGUAUAGGGAGCUUGCUUCCUAGAGACCGGCGCACGGGUGCGUAACGCGUAUGCAAUCUACCUUUUGCAGAGGGAUAGCCCAGAGAAAUUUGGAUUAAUACCUCAUAGUAUAGCAGUUUCGCAUGAAACCACUAUUAAAGUCACAACGGCAAAAGAUGAGCAUGCGUCCCAUUAGCUUGUUGGUAAGGUAACGGCUUACCAAGGCAACGAUGGGUAGGGGUCCUGAGAGGGAGAUCCCCCACACUGGUACUGAGACACGGACCAGACUCCUACGGGAGGCAGCAGUGAGGAAUAUUGGACAAUGGGCGCAAGCCUGAUCCAGCCAUGCCGCGUGCAGGAUGACGGUCCUAUGGAUUGUAAACUGCUUUUGUACAGGAAGAAACACUGGUUCGUGAACCGGCUUGACGGUACUGUAAGAAUAAGGAUCGGCUAACUCCGUGCCAGCAG